CGGCUAUUUUAUUAGCUAAUCACUAGCAAGUAUUUACACAUCAUUCAUUGUUCAUAUUAUACCAAAAGUAGCAAGUUUCUAUACAUGCCAUACCCAAAACAAAACGUCUAGUUAUACCGAGUUAUUUCUUUGAUAGUGUGAUCGGCCUCCGACGUUUCCUUCGAUCCCCGAGUGACUAGAUAAGUACUAUAAGAAGAAGAAAAUAAAGAGAUUAAGCACUAGGCUUAGUAAGCUUACAAGCAAAUAAAUCACAACAUUCAACAUAAUGGAUAAUUAUGCAUAAUAUCAUCUAACAUCAUAAAUUUCUUUACUUCUCAAUUUGUAUCUUCUUCUUUAUUCCCUUACUUUCUUUCUUACCUGACCUUUCCUUUUUCAUAAGUAUAAUCUACUUUUCCUUUGCUGUUAAUUCACUGUAAUUUAACUCGUAUCCUGACCCGUUGAACCACUCGGAAUACUAAGGAUACUAAGGUCGUUCCUGUCUAUCAAUAUCCUGCCAAUGCCAUGUCUUUGACAUGGACUUACAUGAAUUAUUCCUGUCUCCAAUGCCAUAUAUAAUAUGGACUUACAUGGCUCAAUCCUGUCUCCAAAGCCAUAUUUCUAAUAUGGACUUACAUGGCGCAUUUCUGUUCUGUCCUGUCAACUCUAAUAUCCUAACAUUCCUAGGGUUCAACCGGGGCUUUCUAACACUUUUCCUCUGUCACUCCACCUUAAAUUCGACUUUACAUAUUUUCAUAACAUAAGUAUAUAAAUGCUGGAAAUUGACAAUAAUAAUGUAAAAUAAAAGAAUAUUGCAUUUAUUUACUGUAACUUACCUUGAUACAAAAUGUGACUAAACUUUACAAUUUAGUCCUUUACUUUUUCUUUUCCCCGAUCUACUCCCGAAUUUCGUUCUUCUUGAUCUAUAAUAGCAAAUUUAACUUAUUUAAUAUUCACAUUUAUUAAAACAGUCCUUGACCCAAACUUUUGCAAAAUUAUAUUUUUACCCCUAAACUUUCACAUAUUUGCACUUUUUCCCCAAGGAUCGUAAAUUAAACUUCAUCCUAUUUUCUUAUGUUUUAUGACAUGCUGAUCAUUUUUCCCUUCUAUGGCAAUAUCAAAAUCACACUCUAACAUAUACUUAUGACUAUUGAUAUUUUUUUCCAAUUUAAGCCCUUUUACUCGUUUUCACUUAAAACCGAGUAGCAUAAGUUGUUUAACAUAAUUUAAAACCUCAUAUUCUAUCAUAAAACACCAAAAUACACAAAUUUCAGCCAUGGGUAUUUUUCCAAAUAUGAACCCUAGGCUGAAUUAUUGCUAGAAUAAGCUUAAUCAAGUUACCGGGACUCCAAAAACGUAAAGAUCAUUAAAAACGGGGCUUGGAAUCACUUACUAUGAAGCUUGAAAGUUGAAGAAACCCCAGCUAUGGAGGAGAGCAAAAAUCGGCAGAAACUAAUUGAGAAGAUGACCAUUUUUUUGUUAUUUUUCCCUAUUUAAUUCAUUUAAUAUCCAAGUGACCAAAUUACCCCUCCUUACUAAACUUUCAAAAAUUUCUUCGAUGUCCUAAUUUUUGUCCAUGAACUUAAAAUUGGUCAAAUUGUUAUUUAAACCCUCCUAAUUAAUAUUCCAAAGUAAUUUCAUACUAAAAACUUCUAGAAUGGAAGUUUUGCAAAUUAUUCAAUUUAGUCCCUAACCUCAACUUAAGCACUUUAUGCAUGGAAUUUCAUCACGAAAUUUUCACACAAUCAUGCAAUCAUACCAUGAACCUUAAAAUAAUAAUAAAAUAAAUUUUUCUACCUCGGAUUUUUGGUUUCGUAACCACUAUUCCGUUUAGGUCUUAUUUUGGGAUGUUACAUUUCUCCCCCCUUUUAGGGAUUUUCGUCCCGAAAAUCUUACCUGUGAAGAAAUUUGGGUACUAUUUUCGCAUAGCCUCUUCGGGUUCCCAUGUAGCCUCAUCUACCCCGUGUCUAUUCCAUAGUACUUUCACAAGUGCAAUACUUUUAUUCCUUAAUUGCUUUACCUCUCGAGCUAGAAUCUUUGCCGGUUCUUCACCGUAAGUCAUGUCUGGCUGAAUCUCAACCUCUGUCUGAGAAAUCACAUGUGAUGGAUCUGAACAAUAACGAUGUAGCAUAGAAACAUGAAAUACAUUAUGAAUCUUCUCUAACUCAAUCGGCAAAGCUAACCGAUAUGCUAAUGGUCCGACUCUCUCAAUUACUUCAAACGGUCCAAUAAAACGUGGACUUAGUUUGCCUUUCUUGCCAAAUCUGAGAACUUUCUUCCACGGGGAUACUUUCAGAAAAAACUUUGUCACCAACUUGAUAUUCGAUCUCUUUUCUUUUUAAAUCUACAUACGACUUCUGCCUGUCUGAAGCUGCUUUUAAACAAUUUCUGAUAACUUUCACUUUUUCUUCUGUUUCUUUAACUAGAUCAACCCCGUAAAUCUGGCUUUCUUUAAGCUCUGUCCAAUAUAAAGGUGUACGAAAUUUACGUCCAUACAAAGCUUCAUAAGGUGUCAUCUUCAAACUUGACUGGUAACUAUUAUUAUAGGCAAACCCUACCAAUGGUAAGUAUUUUUCCCAACUACCUUGAAAUUCUAAUACACAACAUCUAAGCAUAUCUUCAAGUACCUGAAUAACUCUCUCUGACUGACCGUCGGUUUGAGGAUGGAAAGCUGUACUAAAACUCAACUUUGUGCCCAAAGCCUCUUGUAAUUUCUUCCAAAACCGUGAAGUAAAUCUUGGAUCUCUGUCUGAAAUAAUCGAUAAUGGUACCCCAUGUAGCCUGACUAUCUCUGAAAUAUACAACUCCGCCAACUUGUCAAGUGAAUAAUCCAUACGAACUGGGAUAAAAUGAGCCGACUUCGUUAACUUAUCAAUCACAACCCAUAUUGCAUCUUUCUUUCUCGGAGUAAACGGUAAUCCUGUUACAAAAUCCACAGUAACUCGAUCCCAUUUCCAUUUCGGAACUAGCACAGGCUGCAAUAAUCCUGAGGGUACCUGAUGUUCGGCCUUUACCUGUUGACAAAUCAAGCAUCUAGAAACAAACUCUGAAAUAUCUCUUUUUAUUCCUACCCACCAAUAUAAUUUUUUCAAAUCAUUAUACAUUUUUGUACUGCCUGGAUGAAUAGAUAAAGGACUGCUAUGUGCUUCCUGUAAAAUCUUCCGAAUAAGCUCAUCAUUCUUUAGUACACAUAUUCUGUCUCUAAACAUCAAACAACCAUCAGAACCAAUCCAGAAAUCUGAUUCUAUGCCUGACUCACAUUGAGCUCUUUUAGCUUGUAACUCAUUAUCAUCUUUCUGAGCUUCACAAAUCUCUUCAAGAAAUACCGGUUUAGCUCUCAAUUCAGCUAAAAUAGAACCAUCAUCUGACAUGGCUAAAUUGGUAUUCAAAGCUCGCAAUGUAAAUAAAAGUUUCCUACUUAAAGCGUCAGCAACUACAUUUGCCUUACCUGGGUGAUAAUCAAUCACUAACUCAUAAUCUUUAAGCAAUUCCAACCAUCUUCUUUGCCUCAAAUUCAAAUCUUUUUGAGUCAUCAAGUAUUUCAAGCUUUUAUGAUCGGUAAAUAUCCGGCACCUUUCACCAUACAAAUAAUGUUUCCAAAUCUUCAAUGCAAAUACAAUAGCAGCUAGCUCUAAAUCAUGUGUCGGAUAAUUUUUCUCAUGUGGCUUCAAUUGUCUAGAGGCAUAAGCAAUUUUCCUUCCUGCAUGAGUACACAACCGAGCCCAUUCAAGGAUGCAUCACUGUAAAUCACAAAUUCUUUACUCGGUUCUGGCUGUACUAAGAUAGGAGCUUCCGUCAACAAUGCCUUUAACUUGUCAAAACUUUGUUGGCACUUCUCAGUCUAUUCAAACUUAACAUCCUUCCGUAGCAGUCUCGUCAACGGGGUAGCUAUCAUGGAAAAUCCCUCCACAAAUUGUCUAUAAUAUCCGGCAAGACCAAGAAAACUUCUAACUUCUGAUCAUUUCUAGGAAGCUUCCAGUCAACAAUGGCUAAAAUCUUGCUCGUAUCAACCUUAAUACCUUCACCUGAGACAAUAUGUCCAAGAAAACCAACUUCUCGUAACCAGAACUCACUUUUGUUGAACUUGGCAUACAACUGAUUAUCUCUCAGAAUUUGUAAAACUGUUCUCAAAUGCUCUGCAUGCUCAGUCUCAUCAUGAGAAUAAAUCAAAAUAUCAUCAAUGAACACAACUACAAACUUAUCUAAAUACGAUCUAAAAAUUCGGUUCAUUAAGUCCAUGAAAAUGGCAGGAGCAUUAGUCAAGCCAAAUGGCAUCACAAGGAACUCAUAAUGACCAUACCUAGUCCGAAAAGCAGUCUUCAGGACAUCUGACUCUUUAACUCGCAACUGAUAGUAUCCGGAUCUCAAAUCUAUUUUGGAAAACACAGUAGCUCCCUUCAAUUGAUCAAACAAAUCAUCAAUUCUAGGCAAUAGAUACUUGUUCUUUACUGUUACCUUGUUAAGUUACCGAUAAUCUAUGCAUAAUCUCAUCGAUCCGUCUUUCUUUUUCACAAAUAGCACUGGUGCACCCCAUGGUGAACUACUGGGUCUUACCAAGCCUUUAUCUGUUAAUUCUUGCAACUGAGCUUUCAAUUCUUUCAAUUCCAACGGAGCCAUUCUAUAAGGAGCAAUAGAAAUGGGCGUGGUACCUGGAAUCAACUCAAUACCAAACUCAACUUCUCUAACAGGAGGCAAACCUGGUAGUUCUUCCGGAAACACAUCGGGAAACUCACAUACCACAAGCACUGAUUCAAUUUUCAAUUCUGGAUCUUUAGUGUUUAACACAAAAGCAAGAUAAGCUUCAUACCCUUUUCUCAAACAUUUUUGAGCAGACAUAACAGAAAUUAUGGGAAAUAAACUAUCUGACUCUUCUGAAUUAACCCAAAGAAUUUCACCAUUUUCACACUUCAACUCAAUGAAUUUCUUUCUACAAUUCACUAUCACAUCAUGUGUAGUCAAUCAAUCCAUACCAAGAAUCACAUCAUACUCAUCAAAUGGCAAUAGCAUGAGAUCAGCCGGAAAACAGUAGCCUCUAAUCAUUAAAGGACAAUUUCUACAUACUUUAUCUACUAAUACAUGCUUGCCUAAUGGAUUUGAUACUUUAAUCACAAAUUCUGUAGAUUCUAUAGGCAUACUUAUACUAGGCAUCAAUUUCAUACAAACAUAAGAAUGAGUCGAACCCGGAUCAAUCAGAGCAAUGACAUUAAUAUCAUAUAGAGAAAAUGUACCCGUAAUCACAUCGGGGGAGGAUGCCUCUUCGCGUGCACGAAUAGCAUAAGUCCUUGCAGGGGCUCUAACAUCUGGUCUCACAGCCGAAUCUCUAAAGGUACCUCUGUUACUUGCUCCUACUCCCGGUUGCCUCGGUGAUCUGC
Molecule: long non-coding RNA, 5348 nt
Filed under: Gossypium barbadense (sea-island cotton)
Lineage: Eukaryota; Viridiplantae; Streptophyta; Magnoliopsida; Malvales; Malvaceae
Description: long non-coding RNA (GBAR_LNC000206)
Source: RNAcentral